RNAcentral lists this ribosomal RNA (376 nucleotides) under Hyalomma anatolicum. RNAcentral's name for it is "partial large subunit ribosomal RNA". The record is from RNAcentral. Lineage: Eukaryota; Metazoa; Arthropoda; Arachnida; Ixodida; Ixodidae.
AAGAUUUUAAUUGAAUGCUAAAAGAAUGGAAAUUUAAAAAAAAACUUUUUUAAAAAUAAAAAUUGAAUUUUUUUUAAUUUGUGCAAAAACAAUUAUUAUUAUUAAAGACAAGAAGACCCUAAGAAUUUAUGAUUUUGCAAUUAGAAUUUUUUUCAAAAAAUCUUGAUUGGGGCGAUCAAAAAAUAUUAAUAACUUUUUAAAUUUAAAUUGAUCUAUUAUUAAUAAACUAAUGAAUUAAAUACUCUAGGGAUAACAGCGUAAUAAUUUUUGAUAGAUCUUAUUGACAAAAUAGUUUGCGACCUCGAUGUUGGAUUAGGAUCCUUUUUUAAUGAAAAAGUUAAAAAAAGAAGUUUGUUCAACUUUUAAAUUCCUACUU